GAGAUUAUCAACAUCAGGGGAAAACUGCAAUACUUCUAGUAACUGCCCCGAGAUGAGGAUGCCUAUUGAUGGACCCUGGUAUAUAGGUAUACAGCAUAAGCAGUGUUAAGGACAUGCGGUUGUGAUGUGUGAUAUACCCUGUACCCUGAAAGUAGUCCACUAAAGGUGUAGGCACACAAAGAAAUGCUUCUGGGUUGUUUUAAGUAUCCCUUUAAGAAGUUCUUAAAGGCAAUGGUGCACCCCAUUUAGCAGCAUCUCAACCUAAAUGCAGUGUACAGCAAUGAAGUUUCACACACAAGUUACUGAGGAUAUAGGCACAUAGUUUCUGAAAAGAGUCCCUCAAGUUGCUGUUUGGGACAUAUCAGAAAAGAACUCCUGGCUUCCAAACUGCAAGAUUCAUCUCUUCCACUGGAUGUCAUAGCUUUGGAGUAUAGUUUCCGUGAGCACACAGUCAUUCUCUGUCUAAUCAGGAACUGGAUGAUGCGUGUGGGCAGAAAUGCAGAGUGUACCACCUGUCAAAAAAGCCACCUAUUCCUUCAAUGAAGAGAUAUGUGUGUGUGGACAGUGACUGUAGUUUCCAGAAUAGAACUCACCUGUUACCUUAGGAACUUCAGAUACUUCCAAGGGUGUAGUACCGGUGCACCAGGCCGGUUUUCCAGCUGAGUGAAUCCAAUCAACAUUUCCAGCUAAACAAGGGCCAGGAACAAUAUUAGACUCCUUAUCAAAAUGGGUUGAAAAUCAAGGAGCUGUGAUGUACAAUAGAGGUACGCUCAAACGCGGAGGAAAUGUUCAACCCUGACCUGACCCAGUGGCCAAUGAUACUGCGAUUGGCAAGGAAGUCUUAUUCAGGCCAAAUGCUGCACUGGCCGAGAGCAGGGAAUGUCUCCAGGAUGGAUACAUGAGGACAGAAGAGUGGAUGAACAACAGCUAGGCAGGAACAGUAUUCUGUAUAAGAAUGAAGACACCAA
Molecule: long non-coding RNA, 968 nt
Organism: Mya arenaria
Lineage: Eukaryota; Metazoa; Mollusca; Bivalvia; Myida; Myidae
Exons: 6
Source: RefSeq, a predicted model, not a curated record